This 327-nucleotide ribosomal RNA is filed under the name Nothobranchius kirki (redfin notho). Its description in RNAcentral is "partial 12S ribosomal RNA". It matches the Rfam family "Bacterial small subunit ribosomal RNA", at positions 868 to 1360 of the family's 1533-position model. Lineage: Eukaryota; Metazoa; Chordata; Actinopteri; Cyprinodontiformes; Nothobranchiidae. The record is from RNAcentral.
UUCGCCAGAGUACUACGAGCAUAAGCUUAAAACCCAAAGGACUUGGCGGUGCUUUAGCCCCACCUAGAGGAGCCUGUUCUGUAACCGACAACCCCCGUUAAACCUUACCUUCUCUUGUCUUUUUCCGCCUAUAUACCACCGUCGUCAGCUUACCCCAUGAGGGACACCGAGUAAGCAGGAUUGAUUAAGUCCAAAACGUCAGGUCGAGGUGUAGCAUAUGAGAAGGAAAGAAAUGGGCUACAUUUCCUACAUUAGGAUAUAACGAAAACUAUUAUGAAACACAAGGAUUAAAGGAGGAUUUAGCAGUAAGAAGGAACAGAGUGUCCU